Non-coding RNA from Punica granatum (pomegranate), 681 nucleotides. NCBI's taxonomy places the organism in Eukaryota, Viridiplantae, Streptophyta, Magnoliopsida, Myrtales, Lythraceae. The record is from RefSeq and is a predicted model, not a curated record.
GGGGGGGUUGGUUUUGGUCGGAGCGCCGGGAGCUGUCUUCGACGAGGUUCCAACUUCGGUUGAUUGGAGGAAGGCAGAGGCAGUGAUCAACUGUGAAUAUCCUCAUCGGAGCUGGGUUUUCAAGAAGAGUCCCACAUCAGUUAUCAGAUUAACUGGAGUUUGUCACUGGGAGAAGAAUAGCUUCUAGAAAAUUUUCAGACUAUGUUAACUGUUCUAGAGGAUGGUCCUUAUUCCUUUGAAGGCCCUGUUUCUUUCGAUGAUAAUCUUUGACCCAAUGUUGGAUGCAUUUCAGCAUACUCCGAUGGACGAAAAGGGUUUUCUCUUGGAGAUCAUAUAUUCUUAUGAGAUUUUUGAGGGUCAGAGGGCUGAGGAUAUAGAGAUGAAAAAUAAUCUAUCUAGCAUGGUGGCCUAUGAGCUUAUGAAUAACCAGCUUAGCUGAUUCUGCUGCAAGUUUCUUAGUGGAGAUUUAUAUUGAUCCUAGACAUUUCUUCUUUUUAUUUAGAUGCAAGGUUAUGGAUAAUCAUUUAUGCAAGGUUUGAUCCUAGACAUUUCUUAGUCAAGAUGAUCAUGUAUUCGAGGAAGAACAUUUGAUCAUUGCUUCUACAUAUAUGGAGGACCUGAAUAGGUGGAGGUCAUUGUUAACAUUCUUCGAAAUUACAGUUAUUUUGUAGAAUCGACAUA